This 253-nucleotide ribosomal RNA is filed under the name uncultured bacterium. RNAcentral describes it as "partial 16S ribosomal RNA". It matches the Rfam family "Bacterial small subunit ribosomal RNA", at positions 524 to 776 of the family's 1533-position model. The record is from RNAcentral.
UACGUAGGGUGCAAGCGUUGUCCGGAAUUAUUGGGCGUAAAGAGCUCGUAGGCGGUCUGUUGCGUCGGCUGUGAAAACCCGGGGCUCAACUCCGGGCCUGCAGCCGAUACGGGCAGACUAGAGUUCGGCAGGGGAGACUGGAAUUCCUGGUGUAGCGGUGAAAUGCGCAGAUAUCAGGAGGAACACCGGUGGCGAAGGCGGGUCUCUGGGCCGAUACUGACGCUGAGGUGCGAAAGCGUGGGGAGCAAACAGG